GCCGGCCUUGAGCACUGUGGGGAGGGGGCACAGGGGGGAGGUUAUGCUUGCUCUGUGUGCAGGAAAGGGGAAAAUGGAAAAGCCGACUUAGACCAUCCUCCGCAAUGCCCUCUGUGUUUUGUCAACCUCUGGCCGCAGAGCCAGGCAGAAGUAUUUCAACAGUUACACUGCACACUGGCAGGAGGAUUGCAGGCUCAAUGCGUAGAGCUAGUGAUUUUGCCAACUUCCUGGAUGUUCACUGCUGGUUCUGCACCGAAGAGCGACAUUUCCUCUCGGAUCGGGACCGGACGCGGCCGGCACAGACCCUGGGAAACUGUGAGUACUCUGAGCUCCUUCUCCCGCGUCUCUCUGGCCCGGUGUGUCCCGCCCGGCCUGUCCCGCCUGCCUGCCGUCUCCGUAUGCAGCAGCAGCUUUCCCCGGGCAGGCGCCUCGCCUGCACUCGCUAUCAGCCCUCAGGACCGUUCUCCACGUUUAGGAAAAGAGACUCUACAGUUUCUACACAAACAACGUGUAGGAAGGGGAGGGGGAGUGUGCUUACCGAUUGCAGUGACUUCGGUUUUCGCUUUAAGGCUCCGAAAGACGGAGAAAGUAAACAGAAGCAGGCUGGUUUAUUUCAGGGGCUAACAGGGAGUCCCUACUGAAUUUACCUAAUAAAAUAAAUUUAAAAAUUUUUCAUUUUCUCAUUUCAUUCCAGCAGAGAAUGAGUUUGCCUUUAUAAUGUCCAGAUCUUUCAAGCUCAAGUGAGUGAGAAAUUAAGUUACAAAAUGUAAAUACUUUGAUAUAUGUAUGUGAAAUGAAUAUAUAUAUAUGAAAUGAAGAGAUUUCUGACUGUAAUGCAAUAGCAAGCCUGAGUUUAGGCUCUUAGGACAUUGAAAAAUUUUUUAUGAUGUGUAAUGAGAAAAUACAAG
This is a long non-coding RNA of Phyllostomus discolor (pale spear-nosed bat), 908 nucleotides long. RefSeq lists it as uncharacterized. NCBI's taxonomy places the organism in Eukaryota, Metazoa, Chordata, Mammalia, Chiroptera, Phyllostomidae. The record is from RefSeq and is a predicted model, not a curated record. The transcript has 3 exons.